CAGGAUGAACGCUGGCGGCGUGCCUAACACAUGCAAGUCGAGCGAGAAGCUCUCAGUUGAUCUUCGGAUGAACAGAGUGCGGAAAGCGGCGACGGGUGAGUAACGCGUAGGCAACCUGCCCCUUGCAGAGGGAUAGCCUCGGGAAACCGGGAUUAAAACCUCAUAAUGCAUCGAGGAGACAUCUUCGAUGAUGCCAAAGAUUUAUCGGCAAGGGAUGGGGCCUGCGUCUGAUUAGUUAGUUGGUGGGGUAACGGCCUACCAAGGCGACGAUCAGUAGCCGACCUGAGAGGGUGAUCGGCCACAUUGGAACUGAGACACGGUCCAAACUCCUACGGGAGGCAGCAGUGGGGAAUAUUGCACAAUGGGCGAAAGCCCUGAUGCAGCAACGCCGCGUGAAGGAAGAAGGCCCUUGGGUCGUAAACUUCUGUUCUAAGGGAAGAUAAUGACGGUACCUUAGGAGCAAGUCCCGGCUAACUACGUGCCAGCCGCUGC
RNAcentral lists this ribosomal RNA (492 nucleotides) under uncultured bacterium. RNAcentral's name for it is "bacterial SSU rRNA". It matches the Rfam family "Bacterial small subunit ribosomal RNA", at positions 25 to 518 of the family's 1533-position model. The record is from RNAcentral.